GGGUGCACAUGUACCGAGGGGGCGAGAAUCUUUUGCAAGGAUUCUGUGACAGGUUCAAUUCCUGUUGUAUCCACCA
RNAcentral lists this transfer RNA (76 nucleotides) under Candidatus Scalindua sp. Its description in RNAcentral is "tRNA-OTHER". Lineage: Bacteria; Pseudomonadati; Planctomycetota; Candidatus Brocadiia; Candidatus Brocadiales; Candidatus Scalinduaceae. The record is from RNAcentral.